UUCCGUCAAUUCCUUUAAGUUUCAGCUUUGCAACCAUACUUCCCCCGGAACCCAAAAGCUUUGGUUUCCCGGAAGCUGCCCGCCGAGUCAUCGGAGGAACGUCGGCGGAUCGCUAGCUGGCAUCGUUUAUGGUCAGAACUAGGGCGGUAUCUGAUCGCCUUCGAACCUCUGACUUUCGUUCUUGAUUAAUGAAAACAUUUUUGGCAAAUGCUUUCGCUUCUGUCCGUCUUGCGACGAUCCAAGAAUUUCACCUCUAACGUCGCAAUACGAAUGCCCCCAUCUGUCCCUAUUAAUCAUUACCUCGGGUUUCCGAAAACCAACAAAAUAGAACCGAGGUCCUGUUCCAUUAUUCCAUGCACACAGUAUUCAGGCGAAAUUUUAGCCUGCUUUGAGCACUCUAAUUUGUUCAAAGUAAACGUGCCGGCCCGCCUCGACACUCAAUUAAGAGCACCGCGACAGGAUUAUUGAGUCGGAUGGUAGAGCGCCUGCAACCCCACCACAUCAUACAGUAACAACCGAAGUUGCACACGCACAAUGGGGAAGCAUACAGGGUCCACGCAUCCACCGGCAGGACGUUCCGCGGACGUGCCAGUUAAACACCGCGGGCGGUGAACCGACAGCGCGGAACACAAAUUCAACUACGAGCUUUUUAACCGCAACAACAUUAAUAUACGCUAUUGGAGCUGGUAUUACCGCGGCUGCUGGCACCAGACUUGCCCUCCAAUGGGUACUCGUUAAAGGAUUUAAAGUGUACUCAUUCCGAUUACGGG
This 770-nucleotide ribosomal RNA is filed under the name Microcharidius sp. 21 CA-2017. RNAcentral describes it as "partial 18S ribosomal RNA". The record is from RNAcentral. Lineage: Eukaryota; Metazoa; Arthropoda; Insecta; Coleoptera; Carabidae.